Molecule: ribosomal RNA, 722 nt
Filed under: uncultured eukaryote
Lineage: Eukaryota
Description: SSU rRNA
Rfam family: Eukaryotic small subunit ribosomal RNA
Source: RNAcentral
GGUAUCGCCGUUAGUCAUGUGCAAAUAUGGAUAGCUGUUUUAGCCGUCUUUAUUGACUGGUUUAUAAGAGUUAUCAGAUAUCACUUUGAUUAAAUUAGAGUGCUUAAAGCAAGUGUGUUACUUGGAUAUAAAUGCAUGGAAUGAUGGAAUAUGUUGUUAUUCUAUUUGUUGGUUUUUGAAUGAUAAAAUGAUUGAAAGGAACUGUUGGGGGCAUUCGUAUUGUUGUGAGAGAGGUGAAAUUCUUAGACCACAGCAAGACGAACUACUGCGAAAGCAUUUGCCAAGAAUGUUUUCAUUGAUCAAGAACGAAAGUUAGAGGUUCGAAGGCGAUCAGAUACCACCCUAGUUCUAACCAUAAACUAUGCCAACUAGCAAUUUGCUUUGUAUUUUUUAUGACUAAGUGAGAGGCCACGGGAAACCUAAGUAGGGUUAUGGGGGAAGUAUGGUUGCAAAGCUGAAACUUAAAGGAAUUGACGGAAGGGCACCACCAGGAGUGGAGCCUGCGGCUUAAUUUGACUCAACACGGGAAAACUUACCUGGUCCUGACACUAGAAGGAUUGACAGAUUGAUAGCUCUUUCUUGAUUUGGUGGAUGGUGGUGCAUGGCCGUUCUUAGUUGGUGGAGUGAUUUGUCUGGUUAAUUCCGAUAACGAACGAGACUCUAGCCUAUUAAAUAAUACACGGAAUUUUAUCUUCCCCGGUAUUUCUUAGUGGGAUCAAGCG